This 406-nucleotide ribosomal RNA is filed under the name uncultured bacterium. RNAcentral describes it as "partial 16S ribosomal RNA". It matches the Rfam family "Bacterial small subunit ribosomal RNA", at positions 30 to 526 of the family's 1533-position model. The record is from RNAcentral.
AUUGAACGCUGGCGGCAGGCCUAACACAUGCAAGUCGAACGAGUGGCGGACGGGUGAGUCAUGUCUGGGAAACUGCCUGAUGGAGGGGGCUAACUACUGGAAACGGUAGCUACUACCGCAUACCAUCAGAUCUGCCCAGAUGGGAUUAGCUAGUUGGUGGGGUAACGGCUCACCAGGGCGACGAUCCCUAGCUGGUCUGAGAGGAUGACCCGCCACACUGGAACUGAGACACGGUCCAGAGUCCUACGGGAGUCAGCAGUGGGGAAUAUUGCACAAUGGGCGCAAGCCUUAUGCAGCCAUGCCGCGUGUAUGAAGAAGGCCUUCGGGGUGUAAAGUACUUUCAGCGGGGAGGCGUUACCCGCAGAAGAAGCACCGGAAAAGAAAGGGCCAGCAGCCGCGGUAAUAC